RNAcentral lists this unclassified non-coding RNA (329 nucleotides) under uncultured fungus. Its description in RNAcentral is "partial contains 5.8S ribosomal RNA, internal transcribed spacer 2, and large subunit ribosomal RNA". The stretch from base 1 to 52 matches the Rfam family "5.8S ribosomal RNA", at positions 103 to 154 of the family's 154-position model. The record is from RNAcentral. Lineage: Eukaryota; Fungi.
AACGCACCUUGCACUCUUUGGUAUUCCGAAGAGUAUGUCUGUUUGAGUGUCAUGAAACUCUCAACCCCCUUGUUUUGUAAUGAAACGAGUUGUGGGCUUGGAUUAUGGCUGUUGCCGGCUUUGAUUAGUCGACUCGGCUGAAAUACACGAGCUGCCCCGGUGUUCUCUUUCGAAGAAACAAACGGCUUGACUCGGCGUAAUAACAUAUUUCGCUGAGGACGUUACAUUCUUAUGUUAAGAUUACAAUGGUGGUGCUUCUAAUGCGUCUGUUCAGUCAGACACCUUAAGCUUUAGACCUCAAAUCAGUCAGGACUACCCGCUGAACUUAA